This 497-nucleotide ribosomal RNA is filed under the name uncultured bacterium. RNAcentral's name for it is "partial 16S ribosomal RNA". It matches the Rfam family "Bacterial small subunit ribosomal RNA", at positions 28 to 507 of the family's 1533-position model. The record is from RNAcentral.
GAUGAACGCUGGCGGCGUGCCUAAUACAUGCAAGUCGAGCGAACAGACGAGGAGCUUGCUCCUCUGACGUUAGCGGCGGACGGGUGAGUAACACGUGGAUAACCUACCUAUAAGACUGGGAUAACUUCGGGAAACCGGAGCUAAUACCGGAUAAUAUAUUGAACCGCAUGGUUCAAUAGUGAAAGACGGUUUUGCUGUCACUUAUAGAUGGAUCCGCGCCGCAUUAGCUAGUUGGUAAGGUAACGGCUUACCAAGGCAACGAUGCGUAGCCGACCUGAGAGGGUGAUCGGCCACACUGGAACUGAGACACGGUCCAGACUCCUACGGGAGGCAGCAGUAGGGAAUCUUCCUCAAUGGGCGAAAGCCUGACGGAGCAACGCCGCGUGAGUGAUGAAGGUCUUCGGAGCGUAAAACUCUGUUAUUAGGGAAGAACAAAUGUGUAAGUAACUAUGCACGUCUUGACGGUACCUAAUCAGAAAGCCACGGCUAGCUACGUG